This is a non-coding RNA of Ectothiorhodospira sp. PHS-1, 74 nucleotides long. The record is from Rfam. Lineage: Bacteria; Pseudomonadati; Pseudomonadota; Gammaproteobacteria; Chromatiales; Ectothiorhodospiraceae.
CUGUCUGAGGAGCGCUGCAACGGAUCACCGAAUCCGCCAGGCUCAGACACCUCCUAAAACGGCGCUCGCUGUAC